Molecule: ribosomal RNA, 364 nt
Filed under: uncultured bacterium
Lineage: Bacteria
Description: bacterial SSU rRNA
Rfam family: Bacterial small subunit ribosomal RNA
Source: RNAcentral
GACGAACGCUGGCGGCGUGCCUAACACAUGCAAGUCGAACGGGGUGAUUCCUUCGGGGGAUCACUUAGUAGCGAACGGGUGAGUAACGCGUGAGGAACCUGCCUCUCAGUGGGGGACAACAGUUGGAAACGACUGCUAAUACCGCAUAAUGUUUUCGGACCGCAUGAUCUGAAAACCAAGAUUUAUUGCUGAGAGAUUGGCCUCGCGUCUGAUUAGCUAGUUGGUGGGGUAACGGCCCACCAAGGCGACGAUCAGUAGCCGGUCUGAGAGGAUGAACGGCCACAUUGGGACUGAGAUACGGCCCAGACUCCUACGGGAGGCAGCAGUGGGGAAUAUUGGGCAAUGGGGGAAACCCUGACCCAGC